This 275-nucleotide unclassified non-coding RNA is filed under the name Hevea brasiliensis (rubber tree). The record is from RNAcentral. Lineage: Eukaryota; Viridiplantae; Streptophyta; Magnoliopsida; Malpighiales; Euphorbiaceae.
UUUAUGCCUUCUGGAUCAUCUGAUUAUGAGUUUACAAUCUCGGAGGAAGAGAGAGAGCAGGUAAGGGAAGCCAGCUACUUGUAUGGUGAACUAAAGACGAGUUUGAGGUGCUCUUCGUCUAUAAAGAAAAUUCAGGAGAUUGGGGUUUUAUGUGAACAAGGAAAACCCAUUGCAAGAAAAGGCAAGGAGAAGGUAAAGGAAGUAAGAACAGAUGUUGGAAAGCAGGUGUGCGGAAUUUGCCUCUCAGAAGAGGAUAAAAGGAAAUUGCGGGGGAC